AGGACGAAGGAAUUUGCAGUAAACAGGAUGUUUGCUGGUCAGGAAGACACAACGGACUCGUCGAAGGAAAGACGAAAGGAACACCUUCAGGAAGAAGGCGGGACAUGCUCAGGAACGAGUGCGAGUCGAAACAUGAUGGUUCGACGGGUCAAGGUAAGACUAAAGGACACCUCCAGGACGGAGAGUUAAGGACAUCGCUGAAGGAAUCAGCCACUAAUCAAGGAAAUGAUGCAGGGAGCACAUUUCGUAGCUGGAUAGCUGCAAGUAAGACCUCUAGGGCACGACGAUAGUCGUGCCCGUUCUUUUUUCU
This 310-nucleotide non-coding RNA is filed under the name Enterovibrio coralii. The record is from RNAcentral. Lineage: Bacteria; Pseudomonadati; Pseudomonadota; Gammaproteobacteria; Vibrionales; Vibrionaceae.